Long non-coding RNA from Homo sapiens (human), 529 nucleotides. Ensembl annotates it as long intergenic non-protein coding RNA 3000. NCBI's taxonomy places the organism in Eukaryota, Metazoa, Chordata, Mammalia, Primates, Hominidae. The record is from Ensembl.
CUCUAUGGUCGGCGCCUCCUUCUUGGCCUAGCAUAGGCGCCUCAGCAGCGAAUGCGGCUUGAGCCUCAGCAUUCCGCCACAGGCCGUGGUUCAGCCGCCGCAGCUGGCGCGCGCCGUACAGCUGCCUCAGCUGCUCAAAGGACAUGUCCAGCAGCUGGCCCAGGUCCACACCGCGGUAGGUGAACUUGCGGAAGAUCCGCUGCUUCUUCUCCUCUACCUCUGCCAUCUUGCCGGAUCCUCUGAAAAUGAUUCCGGAAAUCAUCUUUCGGGAAUUUAUCUAAGAAGAACUUCUUAUGAGCAAAUAUCCUAAAAUUCAGAUUGUUAAAAUGACGUGAAGAAAAAAUGAACAGGAAACUGAUGCAGAGGCCACAAAGAAUAUUCAAACACAAAUUUUCCAUUUUCAAAAAAUGACACUGCUCCAGGACCCUGUGGAUAUGAGGCUGGAUAAUUGAUUCUCUACUUCCAACUUACUCAUGUGCAUUUGAUACCUCUAACAAAAGGAGUAAAUUUUUCACAAUUCAAUAUGACC